This 497-nucleotide ribosomal RNA is filed under the name uncultured bacterium. Its description in RNAcentral is "partial 16S ribosomal RNA". It matches the Rfam family "Bacterial small subunit ribosomal RNA", at positions 28 to 507 of the family's 1533-position model. The record is from RNAcentral.
GAUGAACGCUGGCGGCGUGCCUAAUACAUGCAAGUCGAGCGAACGGACGAGAAGCUUGCUUUUCUGAUGUUAGCGGCGGACGGGUGAGUAACACGUGGAUAACCUACCUAUAAGACUGGGAUAACUUCGGGAAACCGGAGCUAAUACCGGAUAAUAUUUUGAACCGCAUGGUUCAAAAGUGAAAGACGGUCUUGCUGUCACUUAUAGAUGGGUCCGCGCUGCAUUAGCUAGUUGGUAAGGUAACGGCUUACCAAGGCAACGAUGCAUAGCCGACCUGAGAGGGUGAUCGGCCACACUGGAACUGAGACACGGUCCAGACUCCUACGGGAGGCAGCAGUAGGGAAUCUUCCGCAAUGGGCGAAAGCCUGACGGAGCAACGCCGCGUGAGUGAUGAAGGUCUUCGGAUCGUAAAACUCUGUUAUUAGGGAAGAACAUAUGUGUAAGUAACUGUGCACAUCUUGACGGUACCCAAUCAGAAAGCCACGGCUAACUACGUG